UGCAAGUCGAACGAUAUUAAGGGGCUUGCUCCUUAAGAAAGUGGCGCACGGGUGCGUAACGCGUAUGCAACCUACCUUCAUCUGGGGGAUAGCCCGGAGAAAUCCGGAUUAAUACCGCAUAAAAUCACAGCACUGCAUAGUGCAAUGAUCAAACAUUUAUGGGACGGAGAUGGGCAUGCGUGUCAUUAGCUAGUUGGCGGGGUAACGGCCCACCAAGGCGACGAUGACUAGGGGAUCUGAGAGGAUGGCCCCCCACACUGGUACUGAGACACGGACCAGACUCCUACGGGAGGCAGCAGUAAGGAAUAUUGGUCAAUGGAGGCAACUCUGAACCAGCCAUGCCGCGUGCAGGAAGACUGCCCUAUGGGUUGUAAACUGCUUUUAUCCGGGAAUAAACCACAUUACGUGUAAUGUGCUGAAUGUACCGGAAGAAUAAGGAUCGGCUAACUCCGUGCCAGCAGCCGCGGUAAUACGGAGGAUCCAAGCGUUAUCCGGAUUUAUUGGGUUUAAAGGGUGCGUAGGCGGCCUGUUAAGUCAGGGGUGAAAGACGGUAGCUCAACUAUCGCAGUGCCCUUGAUACUGAUGGGCUUGAAUGGACUAGAGGUAGGCGGAAUGAGACAAGUAGCGGUGAAAUGCAUAGAUAUGUCUCAGAACACCGAUUGCGAAGGCAGCUUACUAUGGUCUUAUUGACGCUGAGGCACGAAAGCGUGGGGAUCAAACAGGAUUAGAUACCCUGGUAGUCCACGCCCUAAACGAUGAACACUCGCUGUUGGCGAUACACAGUCAGCGGCUAAGCGAAAGCGUUAAGUGUUCCACCUGGGGAGUACGCUCGCAAGAGUGAAACUCAAAGGAAUUGACGGGGGCCCGCACAAGCGGAGGAGCAUGUGGUUUAAUUCGAUGAUACGCGAGGAACCUUACCCGGGCUUGAAAGUUAGUGAAUCAUCCAGAGAUGGAUGA
Molecule: ribosomal RNA, 957 nt
Filed under: Pedobacter ginsenosidimutans
Lineage: Bacteria; Pseudomonadati; Bacteroidota; Sphingobacteriia; Sphingobacteriales; Sphingobacteriaceae
Description: bacterial SSU rRNA
Rfam family: Bacterial small subunit ribosomal RNA
Source: RNAcentral